Molecule: ribosomal RNA, 301 nt
Filed under: uncultured bacterium
Lineage: Bacteria
Description: partial 16S ribosomal RNA
Rfam family: Bacterial small subunit ribosomal RNA
Source: RNAcentral
CAGCAGCCGCGGUAAUACAGAGGGUGCGAGCGUUAAUCGGAUUUACUGGGCGUAAAGCGUGCGUAGGCGGCUUCUUAAGUCGGAUGUGAAAUCCCUGAGCUUAACUUAGGAAUUGCAUUCGAUACUGGGAAGCUAGAGUAUGGUAGAGGAUGGUAGAAUUCCAGGUGUAGCGGUGAAAUGCGUAGAGAUCUGGAGGAAUACCGAUGGCGAAGGCAGCCAUCUGGCCUAAUACUGACGCUGAGGUACGAAAGCAUGGGGAGCAAACAGGAUUAGAUACCCCUGUAGUCCCUGUCUCUUAUAC